UACGUAGGGUGCGAGCGUUGUCCGGAAUUAUUGGGCGUAAAGAGCUCGUAGGCGGCUUGUCGCGUCGGAUGUGAAAGCCCGGGGCUUAACUCCGGGUCUGCAUUCGAUACGGGCAGGCUAGAGUUCGGUACGGGAGAUCGGAAUCCUGGUGUAGCGGUGGAAUGCGCAGAUAUCAGGGAGGAACACCGGUGGGCGAAGGCGGGUUCUCUGGGCAUGUCCUGACGUGGAGG
RNAcentral lists this ribosomal RNA (230 nucleotides) under uncultured bacterium. RNAcentral describes it as "partial 16S ribosomal RNA". It matches the Rfam family "Bacterial small subunit ribosomal RNA", at positions 524 to 751 of the family's 1533-position model. The record is from RNAcentral.